GAUGAACGCUGGCGGCGUGCCUAACACAUGCAAGUCGAACGGAGAUUACGGACGGAGGUUUUCGGAUGGAAGCCUGUAAUUCUUAGUGGCGGACGGGUGAGUAACGCGUGGGCAACCUGCCCUAUACAGGGGGAUAGCAGCUGGAAACGGCUGGUAAGACCGCAUAAGUCGGUUAAAUCGCAUGAUUUGAUCGGGAAAUGAGCAAUCAGGUAUAGGAUGGGCCCGCGUCCGAUUAGCCAGUUGGCAGGGUAAAAGCCUACCAAAGCGACGAUCGGUAGCCGGACUGAGAGGUCGGACGGCCACAUUGGGACUGAGACACGGCCCAAACUCCUACGGGAGGCAGCAGUGGGGGAUAUUGCACAAUGGAGGAAACUCUGAUGCAGCGACGCCGCGUGAGUGAAGAAGUAUUUCGGUAUGUAAAGCUCUAUCAGCAGGGAAGAUGAUGACGGUACCUGACUAAGAAGCCCCGGCUAACUACGUG
RNAcentral lists this ribosomal RNA (481 nucleotides) under uncultured bacterium. Its description in RNAcentral is "partial 16S ribosomal RNA". It matches the Rfam family "Bacterial small subunit ribosomal RNA", at positions 28 to 507 of the family's 1533-position model. The record is from RNAcentral.